This 650-nucleotide ribosomal RNA is filed under the name Pseudomonas putida. RNAcentral's name for it is "bacterial SSU rRNA". It matches the Rfam family "Bacterial small subunit ribosomal RNA", at positions 54 to 700 of the family's 1533-position model. The record is from RNAcentral. Lineage: Bacteria; Pseudomonadati; Pseudomonadota; Gammaproteobacteria; Pseudomonadales; Pseudomonadaceae.
CAUGCAGUCGAGCGGAUGACGGGAGCUUGCUCCUUGAUUCAGCGGCGGAAGGGUGAGUAAUGCCUAGGAAUCUGCCUGGUAGUGGGGGACAACGUUUCGAAAGGAACGCUAAUACCGCAUACGUCCUACGGGAGAAAGCAGGGGACCUUCGGGCCUUGCGCUAUCAGAUGAGCCUAGGUCGGAUUAGCUAGUUGGUGGGGUAAUGGCUCACCAAGGCGACGAUCCGUAACUGGUCUGAGAGGAUGAUCAGUCACACUGGAACUGAGACACGGUCCAGACUCCUACGGGAGGCAGCAGUGGGGAAUAUUGGACAAUGGGCGAAAGCCUGAUCCAGCCAUGCCGCGUGUGUGAAGAAGGUCUUCGGAUUGUAAAGCACUUUAAGUUGGGAGGAAGGGCAGUAAGUUAAUACCUUGCUGUUUUGACGUUACCGACAGAAUAAGCACCGGCUAACUCUGUGCCAGCAGCCGCGGUAAUACAGAGGGUGCAAGCGUUAAUCGGAAUUACUGGGCGUAAAGCGCGCGUAGGUGGUUUGUUAAGUUGGAUGUGAAAGCCCCGGGCUCAACCUGGGAACUGCAUCCAAAACUGGCAAGCUAGAGUACGGUAGAGGGUGGUGGAAUUUCCUGUGUAGCGGUGAAAUGCGUAGAUAUAGG